AGUGAACGCUGGCGGUAGGCCUAACACAUGCAAGUCGAACGGCAACACAGUAAGAUCUUGCUCUUACGGGUGGCGAGUGGCGGACGGGUGAGGCAUAGAUCGGCAUCUUCUUUUUCGGGGGGGAUAACGUAGGGAAGCUGACGCUAAUACCGCAUACGUCCUACGGGUUAAAGCAGUGGAUAUUGGCACCUUGCCUGUUUGAUUUAGCCGGUGCCGGAUUAGCUAGUUGGCGUGGUAAAGGCCCACCUAGGCGACGAUCCGUAGCUGGCCUGAGAGGAUGAUCAGCCACACUGGAACUGAGACACGGUCCAGACUCCUACGGGAGGCAGCAGUGGGGAAUAUUGGACAAUGGGCGCAAGCCUGAUGCAGCCAUACCGCGUGGGUGAAGAAGGCCUUCGGGUUGUAAAGCCCUUUUGUUGGGAAAGAAAAGCAGCAGGUUAAUACCCCGCUGUUCUGACGGUACCCAAAGAAUAAGCACCGGCUAACUUCGUG
This 492-nucleotide ribosomal RNA is filed under the name uncultured bacterium. RNAcentral's name for it is "partial 16S ribosomal RNA". It matches the Rfam family "Bacterial small subunit ribosomal RNA", at positions 29 to 507 of the family's 1533-position model. The record is from RNAcentral.